CAGUAGCCGCGGUAAUACGUAGGGUGCAAGCGUUAAUCGGAAUUACUGGGCGUAAAGCGUGCGCAGGCGGUGCUGUAAGACUGAUGUGAAAUCCCCGGGCUCAACCUGGGAACUGCAUUGGUGACUGCAACGCUGGAGUGCGGCAGAGGGGGAUGGAAUUCCGCGUGUAGCAGUGAAAUGCGUAGAUAUGCGGAGGAACACCGAUGGCGAAGGCAAUCCCCUGGGCCUGCACUGACGCUCAUGCACGAAAGCGUGGGGAGCAAACAGGAUUAGAUACCCCUGUAGUCCCUGUCUCUUAUAC
This 301-nucleotide ribosomal RNA is filed under the name uncultured bacterium. RNAcentral's name for it is "partial 16S ribosomal RNA". It matches the Rfam family "Bacterial small subunit ribosomal RNA", at positions 509 to 807 of the family's 1533-position model. The record is from RNAcentral.